UCAUCACCCCAGUGUUGGCCUCUGGUGUCUCCUUAACAGUUUCCAUGCCUCCCUCAGUAUUGCCCAUCAGAGUAAUGCUCACUGUCUGUUCCAGGAUGCCAUACUCCGCUCGCACGGACACUCCAGGCUCAUCAUCUGCACUGUUUGCUUGGGUUUGAGGAUCAGUCAUUUCUGUGGAAGCCUCGAUCCUGCCACAGAAAGUGGUAUUAAAAACCAAGAUCUGGAUUCUCCUUUUGCCUCUCCCGCAACCUUCAUCAUACCUGAGGCUCCUGAACUAGACAGACAGCAGCAUGUUGUCUUCUGGGAGGCUCCACCCAGUGGCUGGCUUGGAUGGAUGCAGAUACCCACAGCAAACAGUGGAUGGGGCUUGGACACUCUUAUAGAAGAAUAAGAGCACCUUGCUCAUUCCCGUAUUGGUGAGCUCUGGCUGUGGACCGCUGGCUGGGUGCCUCCCCCAAGGCUGGAAAGCAGGAGCUGUCGAAUAAUGGGGUUAACUGUAUUUCUGCCUCACCCUGGGCCGUGGUGGCAGUGAACUCUGCGUCUAGCGAUUUACCUUAUAAAUAUCCUGCAACAACAAGGAUGAACCGCUGGUUCCUUCUGUCUAAGGGCCCCAUGGACCAUUCCGAGUGAAGGACAGUCUCAGGCCAAGACCUUGGUUCUACCUCUUAAUUUUGAGCCAAGUACUUCCUGUAUGCCACUGUGGAUGGUAGUGAUGAUGUCCCUCCUCCCAGGAGUCUCAGGACAGCGGCAUCCUGGGAUUGGAAGCCAGAGGUAGGUCUCUUGGGACUAUCCUCACCUGAACUGGGGGAGGUGUUAUCUCUCUGCUCCAUUGUGCCUAAUCUGACCCAGUAAGACCGACCCCUCUUGUGCCCUGAAGUCACUGUGUGACUACACUGCCCCCUAGUGGCAGAAUGGUACACCUCCCUGCACCGGCAGCCAUCCAGUUCCAUUGGGUUUUAUUAUCUCAACAAUACAUGCAGCCUAUCAGUGAACGGUGUGCUUCCUGCCAUCCUGGAGAGACAUAAAAACUGAGAUCAGAGAGUUCUUUGUACAGCGAUGCCCAGUACGCGACCCCUCUCUGCCUUCCAAAGACUGCAUGCAUUCCGGGAAUCCAGAGAGCUGUGAAACAGACCCUCGGGUUCCAGGAACGAAAUACUCGUGGCACUGGAACUCAACGGGAGGGGAAGGAAGAGUGUGCAGGACCCAGUACAGCCCCGAGCAGCAGACAAGCUCCCUCAUCCUAUCCUCGGCUCCAUGGGGCUCAGGAAGAGCUCACUUGGUCGGUUGUCAGCCUCUGAGCUGGGCCAUGCACAGCAGCAACGAUGGCUGCUAUGAAGUGGGUCAAGAUGUCUGGCACUCAACUGGACACCGGUGGCAUGAGAGACUAGAGGAUGUCACCAACCCCUGCCUGAUCGCAACAUUCCCCCCAACCACAGCCAUAUGUAACAGGUUUGGGACAUUGUAGACUUCUACUUUUCUCUUUGAGUAUCUGGUUCUUUCUAGGUAAACUGGCCCAUAUUCUGACUAUUUUAACUGAUCUUGUCCUGC
This 1548-nucleotide long non-coding RNA is filed under the name Mus musculus (house mouse). RNAcentral's name for it is "predicted gene 10787". The record is from RNAcentral. Lineage: Eukaryota; Metazoa; Chordata; Mammalia; Rodentia; Muridae.